ACCCGACCCGAUUCGGAGAGCCAAAGUACGGAGGAAGAGAAAAAGGAGUGGAAGGGGCGAGGGAAGGUCUUCCGUCGCUAAUAAUUUCUUCCCUUUCGCAAGGCGAUCUGCGAUUGAUCUUUUCUUGGUUCGCUUCCCUUUUCGAGGCCUUAAUUUGGUCUGAAGUCUAGGCUGAUGAGGAAUUUAGCGAUGCAUGCGUAUUGUUUGGCGAUGCGAGUUCUUGUUUUUCCGUUUCUUGGUUUUUUGAUUCUUAACGCGACUUAUUGCUCUCCGCUUCUUGGUUUUCUUAGACUCUCGCUAAGAGUUUAGAACUGGUAUUAGGUUUCUUGAUUUUUGUUUAUUUUUUUCCGAUAAUAAAAAAAUUAAGAUGAGAAAGCUGUUUCUAUGUUCCAUUUUUUUGGGAUUUUCUUUUCUUGAUGCUUUUUGUUCCUUUUCUUGGUGGCAAUCAUGGGUUCUUUUUGUUCUUUUCCUAUUUUCAGAUACUUUUGGGGUCGGCGCAGUGGAGGAGUCUUUGAAUAAAGGGUAGCUAGCGGGCGCAUUGAAGUUUUUUGAAUGCGAUCAAGAGUUUAAAACUGAUCGAAAAGUUUGAUUCCUCUUCUUUUUUUUUUGGCACUAAAGGGCAUGGUUUAGCCAUUAAUGGUCGGGGUCUGCUCGAUUAAAGGGCAUUCUUGAUUUUAAUUGCUUCCUGUAAAAGGAACAAGAGAUGAGAUAAGGCUUGCCUUGUGAUCUCCUUUUCAGGAUUUUACUUUCUUGAUAUUUUUGCUAUUUUUCUUUGUGUCAUUCAUAUUUGUCCUCCGAUUUUCAGAUGUCUUUUUGGGUUGUGAGCUUAAUUUAUGAGGGUUAUUCGCUAAACAAAGAUUCAUUGGGUACACCUAGCAUGACUCUUGGAGAGCAGGUAGUGAGCACAUCAGAAAAUCGAUGGCAAUUAGAAAUUUAAAAACUCAUAAAGAAGUUUGAUCCUCUUCCCGUGAAGUAGUGCAAUUGAUCAUUGAUGUUCUGCUUCUAUGUUGGUUAAAGGGGGUUUCUUGACUUGAAUCCUUUUUCGAACAAAGGAAUGAAGUAAGAGAACCUUUUAGGAUGUUCUUUCUCUUGAAAAUUAGGCAUCUCAGUUCUGAGCUUUAGGGAUAUCCCUAGCACAUAAUCUAUUUCAGAGGUGCCUUGGUAAGCAAAAUUUGGGUCUCUUUAUUUUGGAAGAAAGCAUGAAAUUGGUUAAUUGUCUUGUCCCAAAGGCCACGCUCUUCCAAGUUCGUUCAUGGUGAUGUAUUCUAAAUUAUGAAAAUCUCUGGAUGUAUAUUUUAGAGGCUCAGACCAAUAUUUUUUAAGUAGAAGAAAAUAGAAAUCUAGAGAUAUGGAUAGAUAGAUAAUUUGUACUUUUUAGAAAAUAGAUUGGACCUUCAGACAGCAUUUUUGUUGUAAUUUAUUUUAUGGUGAAAAUUUUAUACACAAAAUAUAUGGUUCAAGUUGGAAUUUAAGGAAUUCCUAGAUUGAGCCAUUUGAAAGUGGAAAAGAAAAUUAAAUACAUAUUAUUUUUUGUGAUAUUUUCCUAAAUUGAUUUUAUUAUAUAUAAUAUAACCUUGCUUGUAUCCUAUCUGAAUGUACUAAAAUGGUCUAAAGUUUUUCAUCAUAUGAAGCUUUUACAAUUACAUGUGUUUAUGCAUGCUUUCAUUUACAUGCAUAUUUCUCCAUCAGAUAUAAAAAUUUGUGGUAUGCAUAUGCAUCCUAGACAUUUCACAGAAUAUAACAUCAUCUUAUUGAGCCCUUUUCAAGUUAUCUACAUUUUAUUAGCCUGCUUUUAUGCAGCUAACUACUAUAUCUCUUUUGUCUUUCUCAUUUCCUCGAGGCUUGUGAUUUUUUGUUGAUUUUCUUUCAUUAACAAUUCACAUUCCAUUCAGAUUAGUAGAACCGUAACUUUUAAAAUUAGUGUGUAUAUACAAAAGAAGAUUAUUUAGUACAUCUAGAAGAGAUAUAUUUUUCCCUAGGUCUUAUCUAAAAAUAAUCACAAAAAGAAACCACCUAAGAAUGAUGAGUAAUUCUUGUAAUCUAUGAACAGAAAGCAAAAACUUUUUCCCAUUACCUUGUUAUCUAUUGUUUGAUUUAAUCUGCCAGUCCAUAUUUCUGCCAUUUAUUUGUUUCAACCCGAGAAAUGCAACCAUAUUUGUUACUUCAUCCAGCUUGUCGGUUGGACAUCACUCAUAGAACUGAAAAAGAUCAUGAUACAAGAGGAAUAGACUUUGGUUGGUUGGAAAGAUUGUAUCAUACCCAACCUCUUUCCCCUGUUAAGGAUCGUGCUGCUCUCAUAUUUGCGAGUGAAUAAUCUACCUAUUCUUUUUUCUUUUUUUUUUUUUUGGGGGGGGGGGGGGGCACACAAUCUUUUUCUCUAGGGACCACUUUAUUUCUAGUCUUUGUUAUUGUUUUUGUAGCACAUGGUUCUAGCUUGGAAUUUCAUCUGUGAUGUUUGUUUUUCUAAUAUGUGUAUUUGAAGCCUUUAUCUUAUCUUAGGUCCUCUUGCGGUCUGAACCAGUGGUAUGUAGAUCUAAAUUAAAGCCAAGCUGUUAAACAUUCCAGGGAUAAUUAAACAAGAUUAAAGGAAACUAUUAUCAACUUUCAUGUUGUAUGGCAGAAAUUGUUUCAGAAUUUUCCCCAAUGAGACAUCACCUUACUCUUAAUACUUAAAUGUCCUUUAUGCAGAGCAUAUUUACUAGUUAUAUGUUGGUUAAAAGAUUAAAAAUUUCAUGACUUUGACAACCAAUUUAUCUUCUUUGCACUUUUUUUUGGAGCAAAAGUGGCAGGUCCACAAGGUUACAUUUCAUGAAUUGUCAUUCCAUUUGCUUUUGAGUUUUGACGUUGCAAAGAUAAGCUCUAGUUAUUCUUCUAAUGUUCUGAUUCUAGUUUUUCUAUUGAGACCUUUCUUUUACGUGUUUCCAGUAUUCUAGAUCCUUAUAAAUCAGAUACCACCUGAGUUCAUUCAAAAUCUUGUAUGCCUUGAAUCACACAAGGUGCACUAGCAUUUUAGGAUGACCAGAAAUGUAGGAAUAAAAGGUGGUUAUAGAGUAUCUGGAACCUUUUUGUGAAUUCUACUGACUUAAAAAUCUAGGCCAACUUGUCUUUGACCUCUUCUCAUGUUUGGGAUAUUUUGUACUCGGACCCCUUGAGUUGUAUCUAUUCUAGGGUGAUUUAGUCCACCCGUCUUGUAAAAAAAAAAAGAAAGAAAAUGUUUGCCAUAAUGAUUGGGAUGCUGGUGAGAAGUUGAAGACCAAUAGCAUAGAAAAUCUUGGUGAACCAUGGAAACCUUUAUUUUUUUUUUCCUCUGUUCUUACCCUCUUUGGUCACUAUUUGUAAUUCAAAUUUAAUGGAGAGUUGUCAAAACCAGAAAACAUGCAUAAAGUACUUGUGGAGACUUUAUGGAUUUUUCAGUGCUAGUUGGUCUUUUUCUGAACAUUAGUUACAUACAAGCUAUUAAACAUGCAACUCUUUUGCAUCUACCUUUGAGUUGAGGUCUAAAAUACAAUAAAAAUUUAGUCUAGAGAUUCCCUCGACAGAGCAUCUUCACUACCUUGAAACGAAGAAAUGGAGAGGGGGAGUGGAAAAGCAGUGAGAAAGCUGAAUUGUUAGAAAGCAGUGAGAAAGCUGAAUUGUUAACAUUAUAAAACCAAGAAAAAUAAGGUUGAAAAGGAUUACAUUAGCGGAGAUCAAGGGUGCAGCAUAAAUAGAAAUUAAAUAUGGACAGUUAAUUUUGAUGAUUUGUCAUAUAUUUCUCAGGCCAUGAAUCACGCCAUCCUGAAGGAAAUUUACCUUCACGAAAAAGAAGAGGGGUAGAGAAGACUUGCAUGUCAUCGUCUAAAAUGUUUUGAAGACACUUUCUGGUUCAAGAGCUUACGUUCAUGAUGAUGAAGGCUAUGUCAGACAUAAAUGCAACACUGUUAGGUGUGAUAUAAUACAUAUUCUGCCUCCUUUUGUUUCAGCAAUCCAUUGGAAAUUAACAAAUUAUAUCGGAAUAAUGUACUAUAGAGUGAACUGAGUGAGAGAAAUCAUAAGGUGGUUGAAUGCAGAGAAAUCUAGAAAAUAUAACAAAAGCUUCAAUUAAGGGAGGGACAAGCACUUUGUGGUUGCAAAUGUUUAUUGAAGUGCCUCUGCUGCUAUUGGUUGGAUGUAACUAGGUGCUCCUUUUUGUUGUAUGAAGUCUUGUUUUGCAUAAUGAUAGAAAAUGCGGAAAGAAGGGCCUGAUUACACCUGGUAUUACAACAUUAGUAGAACCAGCUAGCGGAAAUCUUGGGAUUAGUUUCACAUUCAUUGCUGUUCAAAAAGGUUACAGGUUCGUUGCAGUUAUGCCAGCUCAUUUUUUACUUGAUAAAUGGAUUUUGUUGAGAUAUAUGGGUGCCAAAUGUUUCUGACUGGUAAGAAAGCAGACCACAACUUACUUGAACUUGAAUGGAGGCUUGCUUAUCAGCAUAUAUGCCAGUUUAGAAGCUAGUUUAAGGGUUGAUUUUAUCAUUUCCUGCAGAUCCUGUUAUCCAUUUUUCACAGUUUGACUCCUUACUGUUCUUCUGACUGAAAUGUUUAGAGGCUGCAAGUAGAGAGGAAAACAAAGGGAAGAUGAUUGUUACAAUGUUUCCAAGUGGUGGUGAAGGAUACAUGAGCACAGAACUCUGACAGAUUGAAAGAGGAAGUGUAUUAAUCUGAAUUUUUUGCAGAUAAUAUCCUUGGGUCAUACAUCAAAUCACUACAUUCUCCCCCACUGCCACAUGUAUGUAGACAUAGUUCAUUGUAAACUUUGUAUUGGAUCGAGGUUUAAUAAGAAAUACUACUUUCAACCAUCUCAUGGCAACUCAUCGUUUUUGUUAUUAAAUGUGAAAUGAAAACUUCACCUUUCGCAAGCUCUAGAUUGUUCUGAUAGCUCUACUCUUGCAUAAGCACAUGGUGGGAAAAAGGAUAACAUGGUAUGCUGCGAUUUAGAAAAACCAAACCAAUCUUCUGGUCUACUGGCUAUGACUUUAUGAUUUGUUUAGUUGUUGAGUUUUUUUUAAGGAGAAGAACAUGGAGGAGGAGAAGCAGAAGAAGAAGGAGAAGCAGAAAAAAAGUAGGAGAGGGAUACCUUCACCAUUCUCUUCUUGGUUCGCUCCUCAUUGAGCUGAUGAAAGAUUUUUAGCAAUGUAUUAUAUUUCCUAAUGAGGUUAUUCUUGAAGAAGAAGAAGAGAGGAGAGCGAUCCCUUCACUAAUUUCUUCUUGUUCUGUCCUCUUUAAGCCGAGGAGAGAUUUUUAGCAGCGUAUUAUAUUUUGAUGAGGUUCUUCCUGCUUUUUGUUUCUUGUUUUGUUUUUUUGAAUGCUUUUGGUCACUUUGUUGGUUGGAGUUCCAUUAUUUGAAGUGUUUCCAGUAUAAAGAACAAGAAGAGAGAACCUGUUCAGCUUUUAUUUCAAGAAUCAGAGAAAGCAAGUUGGUGUUUUAGCAAAAAAAGCAAGUUGGUGUUGGUGGAAGUUUAUGACCUUUUGUAAUGAUUUUUCCUUAAUGCUUAUUACUUUUAUAUGUUUUGUCUUUCUCAUUUCCUGAUGACUAGUAAGUUUGAAGAAGGCGGCUAAUGGAGGCGAUGAUAGGGAUCCCUUUGCUAUGCUCUUCUGAAGAGGAAGACGGGACAGAGGACAUGGCCUCUGAUAUGGCUCAGGUGUAUGUGGCUCAUCGUAUUGCUUCCAUUUUUUACUCUUAACCUUUCUUGGUUCACUCCUCUUUAAGCUGAAAAGAGAUUUUUAGCAAUGUAUUAUAUUUCCUGAUGAGGUUCUUCUUUCUUUUUGUUUCUCAGUUUGUUUUUCUUAACGCUUUUCAUCACUUUGUUGGUUGGAGUUCUGUUAUUUGAAGUGUUUCCAGUAUAGAGAACAAGGAGAGAGAACCUGUUCAGCUCUUCUUCCGAGAACCAGAAAAAGCAAUUAGGUGUUGGUGGGAGUUUAUGACCUUUUGUAAUGAUAUUUCCUUCAUGCUAGUUAUUUUGUAUGUUUAAUCUUUCUCAUGUCCUGAUGACUAGUAAGUUUUUAUUAUACAAAUACACAUUCUAUUCCCCAAUGACUAGCUAGUGAUCUAUGUGUGAUUGUUGAUGCAAGGCCAUACUUCUGCCAUAUUAAUUUCUUCCAAGUGGACAGACAGACUUGCUUGUGUUACUUUAUUCAGCUCAGAGUUUGGGUGUGUCGCUCAUAGAGCUGAAGCAGAUAACAGUAAAAGAUGGGAUAAAUGUCCAGUUGGUUGGAAAGUUUUAGCCAUACCAACCCCUUUGCUUUGUCAAGGACAUUCCACUCUCCAGUUUGUGAUUGAAUAUUUUCGCAUUUCAUUCUGUUCAAAAACAAACCUUUUUCUCCAAUUAUCUGCUCCUUUAUGUAUUCUACCUUGGAGUUCUGUGUAAUGAAGAAGCAGAUAACAGUAAAAGAAGGGGUAAAUGUCCAGUUGGUUGGAAAGAUUUAGUCAUACCAACCCCUUUGCUUUGUCAAGGGCAUUCUUCCCUCAGGUUUGUGAGUGAAUAUUCUCGCAUUUCCUUCCGUUCAAAUGCAAACAUUUCUCUCCAUUUAUCUGUUCCUUUGUAUUCUUUUUUACGCUAGCAGUUGAUGUAUUCUACCUUCGAGUUCGUGUGUAAUGAUGUUUAGUUUCUUUCUAUAUGUUUGAAGCUUUUAUCUUAUCAUGCUAGGUCCUUUUGUAAUAUGAACUAGCAUAGACUUAGAUUAGAGCCACAAUGCUAAAAUUCAAAAAUAUUUAAAUGAGACAUAAGGCAUUUGGAAGCAUGUCUUCAAAGGUAGAAUUGUCACAAACUAUGCCAUAGGAGGAUGGUAGAGGGGAUUUAUGAAUAAAAUAACUAGUACAGGAGGUUGAGUUGGUUAAAGCUCACAAUUAAUUUUUGCUGGCUAGAUUUUGAGCUUACUAGAAGUUUUGAUCGUACCAUCUUGUGAACCUUAAAUUUGUCUUUCUCAUACAUGAUUACUUUUUCUAUUUUAUCUAUGUUAACUUUUCUGAGAUCUUAUCUAUGAUUCCAUUCAUAUGUAUGUGCAACUUAUAUUCAUAUGAUAGUAGUUGUUUUUUUUUUUUUGCUAAGAUAGGCGAUUCACACUAGAUUCACACUACUCUAGUAUGAAUACAUUCAAAAAAAUCAGAAAACAACAGGUUCUGAAAAGCUCUUGGCAUUUGCGCCUCACUGUACCAAAGAGCUCAACCGGAUUAAUUAGCCACAAAGGAAGCCAUCCAAUCCGCUUCUCUAUUCGCCUCGUGGUAGAUGUGCCUCGUCCCAAAAGAGAUGCAUCCUCUCGCCAAACUCCAGAUGUCCUAAAGUAGGGGUUAAGUGCAUACCUCCGUCACUCGUCCUUGGCUCUAACCAAUCACCGUGGCCGAGUCACCUUUCAUGAAAUUGACGUUGACUCUUAAAAUGUGUCGGGCGUGGCAAAGGCCGGUCUAGGCUGCUCUCAACUCUGCUCCAAAAAUUGAGAUAUUGAAGAUUGGGCUCCCGCCAGCUAUAAUAAGUCUAGAGUCUGGGCUUUCCUCAACCUUUCUUGCCAUCAUACAUCCAUCGAAGAUGACCUUGAAAAAACUCGAGGGUGGGGGCUCCCAAGGGAUAAACACCAUUCAAGACGCUACAAGAGCAGAGGUAGAGUUUCAGGUGCCCCGAGUUAUGAUAGAUUCUCCAAAAAGAUUUGAGUGGAUGAUUUCAGUAGCCUGCGCUCGAGAUCUCUCCAGGAUUAUCCUUGGUGGUGGAAUGCUCUUUUCAAAGAUUCAGGUAUUCCUGGCUAUCCAAAUGUGGUAGGUAACAAAUGCAGUCAUAACCGCCUUGGAUUUGAGGUGAGGCCUACCCAACCAACUCCUUAGGAACUGAAGGAAGGAGUCAGCCAUGGUUGUCAUAUGGAGCAUACACGCCCUGUUCUCCUGCACUGGAAGAGAACAUGAUUAACAGACUCCAGCUCACAGCAAGGGCAAGUCCGUGGGAUGCUCAACUUGCAUUUGAAAACAUGUCUUAAAAGUAGAAUUGUCACAAAUUAUGCCAUGGAAGGAUGGUAAAUGAGAUUUAUGAAUAAAAUAACUAGUACAUGCAGGUUGAGUUGGUAUAUAAAGCUCAUAAUUAAUUCUUGUUGGCUAGAUUUUGAAUCCACUAGAAAUUUUGAUCAUACCAGCAUGUGAACCUGAAAUUUGUCUUUCUUGUACAUGAUUACUUUUCUGAUUUUAUCCAUGUUAACUUUUCUGAGAUUUUAUAUAUCAUUCCAUUCAUAUGUAUGUGCAACUUAUAUUCAUAUGAUAGUAGUUGUUUUUUUUGUUAAGAUGGGCGAUCCACACUACUCUGGCAUGAAUACAUUCAAGAAAAUCUACAAACAAGAGAUUCUGAAAAACCCUUGUUAUUUGCGCCUCACCGAUCCAGAGAACUCCAUCAGAGUGAUCGACGACAAGGAAGCCAUCCAAUUCGUCUCUAUUCGCCUCUUGGUAGAUGUGCCUCAUCCCCAAAAAAAAACAUCCUCUUGCCAAACUCCAGACGACCUAAAGCAGGGGGUAGGUGCAUACCUCCCUCACUCAUCCUUGGAUUCAGCCAAUCAUUGUGGCCGAGUCACCUUUUAUCAAAUUGGCGUCAGUUCUCAAAAUACACCGGGCAUGGCAGAGGCGGCCCAUGCUGCCCCUAACUCUGCUCCAGGAAUCGAGAUAUUGAAAAUCGGGCUCCCGCCAGCUGCAACAAGUCUGGAGUCUGAGCUCCCCUCAAUCCCUCUUGCCACCAUCCAUCAUACAUCCAUCGAAGUUAAUCUUGAGAAAACUCGAGGGUGGGAGCUCCCAAGUGAUAAACACUAUUUGAGAUGCUACAAGAGUAGAAAUAGAGUCCCAGGUGCCCCGAGUCAUCUUAGAUUCUCCAAAAAGAUCUGAGUGGAUGAUCUCAGCAGCUUGCACCCAAGCUUUCUCCAGGACUAUCCUCGGUGGUGGACUGCUUUUCCUAAAAAUUCAGGUAUUGCUAGCUAUCCAAAUAUGGUAGGCAAUAUAUGUAGCCAUAACUGCCUCGGAUUUGAGGUGAGACCUACCUAACCAACUCCUCAAGAACUGAAGGAAGGAGUCAGCCAUGGUCGUCAUAUUGAGCACCUUCGAAGGGAUGGUGGUCAAUCUCCACGCUCGCUCCGCUCUCCCACACCAAAAGAGGACAUUAUCAACAGACUCCUCCACCUAGCAGCAGGGGCAAGUCCGUGGAAUGCUCAACUCGCGUCUGCUCAAGACAGCCCUGGUCGGAAGGUGUCCUUAAGUCAUCUUCCAAAAAAGCAGAGCAACUCUCGGUACUCCAUACUUUCACAUCAGGAGUACUGCACUCUGGAAACUCAAAAGACUGCACCCUCUCGGCCAAGUACAUUCUAAAGAAGCGGCCAAUCUGGCUGAUAUCCCACCUCUUUCCAAGAAGAAGCGGCCGAUCCGGCUGGUAAGCCCACCACAAUAGUAGUUGUUUUGAUUUGCGUUUGACUUUAUCAUUUUGUGUCAACAGUCUUUUAUUUGACAUUCUGCUUUGAUAAUGUGUACUAAAAUGUCACUCUUGCAAUAAAUUGGUGUAUCUAAUUGUUCUUUCUUAUCAUCUGACGUGCAUUUGAUUUCCAAGAUGAUAGGGGAUGCAGAGAAGGGCCUGACUACCCGACAUUACUACAUUGAUAGAGCCCCCUAGUGAAAAUCUUGGGGUUGGUUUGGCUUAUGUUUCUGUCAGAAAAGAUAUAGUUCCUGUCAUGCCAGCUCAUUUUUCACUUGAUAAAUUGAUUUUGUUGAGAUUUUUGGAUUCUGAAGUGUCACUGGGUGGUAAGAAAGAAAUCCAGAAUUCAUUUGGCAAUGGAUUGUUAUACUAGUAGUAGUUUCAUUAGAUGCUUCAGAUGGUUAUGGGUCUACUUCUGUACUAUUUGGUGUUUCAAGUUUCAAUAACUGCACAUCUUGUGGUGUUUCAAACUACCAUAUGUGGGGUUCUGUGAUGCCUAUAUUGUUUACUCAGGAUAUUGCUUUGGAUCUUACUGUUGUUUUGUUCUAUUUUAACUUUCUUCCACGAUGUUGCCAAUCCCUUUGAAAUGCAUGUAACCAAAACUAGAAUCCAUCAAAACAAGUCCCAACCCUUAGAGAUCCAGAAGGAGGACAACAAACAUCAGGCACAUACGGUAAAUAUUUUUCUGUAGCUUGUCGUUGCCCAGAAAUAAUUUGUUGGUAUGGCGCAGAUCCUGGCCUUUCCGUUGAAGAAAGCGGUCUUUAUAAUUGCACUCGAGACGGAACAAGGGGGGCGGCUAUUUUGUUGUCACUUUUGUUCCCACUUGUAAAUAGUAAUAAUGCUUCCAUACAUUGCAGUUGAAUAUGUAUAAGAAUAUUUUUAUCAUUUAAUAGAUAUAAUUAGUACACUAAAACAUAAAAUAAUCAUUACAAAAAAAUUGCAUUCAUCAAAUGAUAAAAAUAAAUUAAUGCAUAUACAGCUACCUUGUAAUAUUAUACAUAUGGAAUAUUUUUAUCAUGUAGGUGAGAACAAUUAGUUAUUUCCUUGAAAUUAAUCAUCUCUUGGAAUGGUUGUGUUGUAAUAUUGAUCCGAUAAUGAAUGUUAAUGUUAUCUUAAAAGGUCUCAAGAAUUGGCUUUCCUUCCCCAUUUGGAGAGAUUUUCUAAGGCGUCAGUACUUUCGAGUCAAGAUCAAAGACACUGCAGAGUGCCCUCCGGGACCUCCCAGAUCACACUGCCAAACCAAGAGCCUGUCAUCGGCAUUUGGCCAACGCUCUUCUCAGAGAACCAUGCGCCUCGCCCUUCAAUUGCUAGCGUCCGAUAAAUAGAAAAAAAAAAGAAAAAACAGAAAAAAAACACUAAGACAUAGUAUCUAAAAAAUCUUUAUUCACAAGAAGCUUGAAAUCAACACUUUGAAUAACAAUUCAUUCAGUUUUCACAACACCAAACUUGGAACUGCAAAUAUAAUGGUCUCAAUCCAAUACAAUAUAUAUGACCCUUGAAAGCCUUGCAUCCCAAGUUUUUCUCGCCACUUGCAAUAAUUCAAGGACAUUGCCCCGCAGUAUUUGGGAACUACACUUUGCUCUUAGAACCAGCUUCCAUACUCUUUAUGUAGGUGUACAAAACAAAUAACAUUACGAAUGCAAAUAGCAUUAAACAUUUCCAA
This is a non-coding RNA of Phoenix dactylifera (date palm), 11103 nucleotides long. The record is from RefSeq and is a predicted model, not a curated record. NCBI's taxonomy places the organism in Eukaryota, Viridiplantae, Streptophyta, Magnoliopsida, Arecales, Arecaceae.